Alligator mississippiensis (American alligator) is the source of this 1839-nucleotide long non-coding RNA. RefSeq lists it as uncharacterized. The record is from RefSeq and is a predicted model, not a curated record. The transcript has 3 exons. Lineage: Eukaryota; Metazoa; Chordata; Crocodylia; Alligatoridae.
UCUCCUUUCUGUAGUUGUAAUUUCUGUAAAAAUGCAAUAAGUUGCAGAGAAAGUUAAUGAAAGGAAAGAGGUAGAAUGAAUGUAGAGGCUUGAAAAAGCACAGUGUGUGGUUUUAAAAAGUUAGCACUAACGCACAGUUAUCAAUACUGUCCUUUUCUAAGUAAGAGGAAAUCCACAGUUUUCUCAGCUGUUUCUUUAAAGUAACUGUGAGUAAAUGCUGAUUUUUUUUUUAAUUCAAACCACCCCCACACAGUGUAAAGGAAAACCAAAAGGCUGGAUUAAGAUAAAUGGAAAACUGAACAGGCAUUUUCUACCUGGUAACCUUUCCUUAUACUUCAUGCUAAGAACUUGCAUUUUAAGUCCAGGAAAGAGAAGAAACGAUGUUGGGGUGGGAAGGGGAAGGUCAAAAGAUAAACUGUCAAAGUCUGUAUCAGAUGUAAGUUGCUGCUGUCAAGGUAAUCUCUCAGCUACAAUCUACAAACAAAACCUACCCAUUCUAAACAGAUCCUUGUCGCAUGGAGCUCAGCAUUAUAAAGAGAUUGUAAAGUCGGAAGGGACCACAAUGGAUCAUCGUGUCUGACCCGCUGUCCCUGGCAGGAAAGAGGACCGAGGUCAGAUGACCCCAGCCAGGUGACUAUCUAGCCUCAAUUUAAUCGGGAGGUUGAGGAGAAGAUGGGACCUCAGUUGCUAUAAACCAAGAGUGAGGAAUACCAUAUACCUGCUACAGCUUUUUUGGAAAGAAAAAAUCCUCCUCUAAACAUUACCUCUGCAUGUGGAUGACAGAACCAUAGCACUGAAGCAAGAACGGUGCAGAGGCCAUUCUACAGAGACAGAACAGUGUUAUGGAGGUCAUAUAUCAUUGUGCUACAGUCCUAAAUUGCCUUACUUCCACUAUGAGUUCUGCAUGGAGGACACCUCUGUGCUAGUCUCACUAUGACUAGGUACAGAUUCGUCAGAGAAAGACAAGGGGAAGAAGGAAAAAGCCUACAUAAUAUCAAGGAAUGCUGUAACAACAUUUAUUUUCCUGAUUGAGCAAUCUUCCAAUAACUCAAUCUAGAGUUAUGACAAUAGUCACUGCUUCCUUGGAGGAAACGAAGAUCUGUAUACAUCUGACCUCCAUCACAAAUGGCAGUGAUAUUAGAGUGCAAUUACAGUCAGUUGGCACUUUUUUAGAUAUUUGUUCUUUCUUCUCAGUGCCCAAGCAAGCAGUCUGAAAUGAGGACUUCAAAAAUCUAUUUUUUCCUUUAUUGAAUGGAAAAUGUUGAGUCAUUUAUUUUAAAGAUGCAAUGAAGGUUACUACUCAUGAAAGACAAAACGGUGGCAUGCAGCAGUACUACCCAGCCCCUAAAAAUAGGACUUAACUCACAUAGAAAUACUUACACUUCUGUUGGUUUAAAUUCACUCCAGUCCUUCAGUGUUUUCAUAUGUCUUUUUUUUUUACUAGCUACAUGAUAUAAUGCUGAAGAUUAAUGAUGGAAACGUGAGCCAGAAAUAAUUAUGGUUUAACAUGCAAAAAACUGGCAGGAAGGGCAUGUCAUUUGUACAGUUCAGUCCAUUUAUGUCCAAGUACCCUAUAUAUUACAAUAGAGGAUAAUUUAGCAGUUACUCUUUCAGCACAGAAACAUAUAAAAUACAGCCUCAUCAAUGUGCAAGAUUACCACAUUGGGGCUAAUUACUUCCAAAGUCAUCAGUUAGAUAGGAGACUCCAUCUGGGAACAUUUUGUAAUGAUGCCUCAGGGAGAGGUAAGAUGGGACCUUUACAUUAUAUGAUUUGGAAAGGACUGAGACCUAAUUAAAGCUGAAAAGAUGUAUUACCUGUUGUAAAAAGUACCUUAAAUA